Molecule: ribosomal RNA, 433 nt
Filed under: uncultured bacterium
Lineage: Bacteria
Description: partial 16S ribosomal RNA
Rfam family: Bacterial small subunit ribosomal RNA
Source: RNAcentral
AAUGAACGCUGGCGGCAUGCCUAACACAUGCAAGUCGAACGAGACCUUCGGGUCUAGUGGCGCACGGGUGCGUAACGCGAGGGAACAGGCCCUUAGGGUCGGAAUAACUCCCCGAAAGGGGUGCUAAUACCGGAUAAUGUCUUCGGACCAAAUAUUUAUCGCGUUUGGGUGUGCCCGCGUUGCAUUAGGUAGUUGGUAGGGUAAAAGCCUACCAAGGCGACGAUUCAUAGCUGGUCUGAGAGGAUGAUCAGCCACACUGGGAGUGGGACACGGCCCAGACUCCUACGGGAGGCAGCAGUGGGGGAUAUUGGACCAUGGGCGAAAGCAUGAUGCAGCAAUGCCGCGUGAGUGCUGAAGGCCUUAGGGUUGUAAAGCUCUUUUACCCGGGCUGAUAAUGACGGUACCGGGAGAAUAAGCUCCGGCUAACUCCGUG